Molecule: long non-coding RNA, 1656 nt
Filed under: Cavia porcellus (domestic guinea pig)
Lineage: Eukaryota; Metazoa; Chordata; Mammalia; Rodentia; Caviidae
Description: lncRNA (ENSCPOG00000040384.1)
Source: RNAcentral
GAGGAAGGCCACGAUGGGACGGCAGAAAUUCAUAGCCUAGUAGAGGAUGAUCUGAGAAUUGGAGAGCCUCACAGCAGAAAAGUGCUGGGAUCACAGGUGCGAGUCCCCGUGGCCGGCCAUCUGUUCUCCUUGUCUGAUGGAAUGCUUACAGAGGCCUGUCAUGCAGUAUCCACAUGGACAGAGACCUGAGAUAUCACAAAGGUGCUUAUACCGCUGAGCUAAAUCCCCAGCCCCUGAGAAAAGCAUCUUUACUUGCACAUGUACGAAGCAGCCUUUAUAAUAUUGAAGAUGCUCCGAGGCAAAAAGAGAAAAGACACGUGCUCCAUACUUCAGUGCGAUGCAACCACAGUGAGAGAGCUGGAGGAGCUCUGAGAUGCUGGACAUGUCUGUCACAACCCCUUCACCUUUUUGCAAGGAGCUGGUCAGAGUGGAUGCUUCCUGGACUGCUUCUCUGGGAGGCUGGAAUUGGAGGCUCUGCCACAGGACAGAGUCCCCAGGGCAUCAGCCACGAGCCAUAGCAGCAGGAAGAAGACCAGGCCUGGCCUGCCUGAUCUGCACCCUCAUCAUCACUGGCUCCAGGAACUGAGAUUCCUUUCCCAUCCUGUUCGGGCUGAUCCGAAUUAGAAAAACCAAAUCUGUCAUCCAAAGAAUCGCUUAAUGAAGAAUUUCCAGCAUCUCAGUCAUUUGAGAGCCCCAUGUUACUGCAUUGCUGUACCGCUUCCAGAUACAUUUAAAUAACGUUUUCGACGUCUGUAAAUGUUUGAGUCACUCCUUGCUCAGUGACUCACGGUGCCUAGUGAGUUACAGAGCACUUGCCAUGCAGUGCCAUUUCGAUCAGCCCCUGGAUGCUUGCUUCUCUGACCUCAUUUCUGCCAGGCACGCAGUCCAUCCCGGGCACACUGACCCCUUCAUGUUCUUGGAGCAGCCCAGCAAGCUGGAGCCCGGCGCCCUGGCUCAGCCUGCUGGGAUGUCUCACUACAUGUGUAGGAUAAUUUGGGAGAGAUGCCACUCUUAAAGACAUUUUCAAUUCAUAUUAUGUCUCUUCAUUUCUUUCAGUUUUAUUUUAUGUUUUCCAUUAAUAAUUUGUAUGUAUGUCAUUGCAGAUUAAAAUGGGCAUUUUUGCACUGAGCUACACCCUCAGUCCUUUUUAAUUUUUUUUAAAACAAGUUCUCACUAAGUUGUUAAGUCUUCCAGGCUGAGCUCAAACUUGUGAUCCUCCUGUCUCAAUCUUUCAGGGUGCUUGGGAUGACAGGUGGGUGCCACGAUGCCCAGCUAAAUUGUUCUUGAUAAAGGUUCAGCAUACGCAGCAUACACUUUUCAUUAGAUUUGUUUCUAGAUGUACAAAAUUGUGUUGCUUCUGUGAAGUAUCUUUAAAAAAUUGCAUUAAAAAUGUUUGCUAGGGUACCAUUUUUAUUUCCAAAAUAUUAAUAGGAUUAUUAUUAUUAGUAGUAGGGUGGAUUGAAUCCAGGACAAAUGCACUGAGGUACAUCAUCAACCUCUUUAUUUUUUGAGACAAGAUUUUUGAUAAGUUGUCUUUAUAGAUAGCAUUAUCUAUCUGUCUGUCUGUCUUUCUGGUAUUAAAGGAGUAUUGAAGACCAUCUAGUGCUGAAUGACUUUGUCAUUAAUUGAAAGUACCGAAAAGAGAUGAAAGAUGGG